AUGCAGCACGUGGCAUCAGACGGCACCCAUGUACCUGCCAUCGACGUCAUACAUAGUACCCCGGCAAACAUCUCGUGGCAAGCUUCACAGAUUGCAGAUAGAGCACGUCAAUUUGGUGUGACAGACCACACAAGAUGGGCACAUGUAGCACAACAAGCUAUAGUGAACAGCAGCGCGGGGACAUCUACUGCGGGGAGCUCUGAGCGCAUGGAAGACAUAUUCCACCAGCCAGCCGACAAUCAUGCCUCAAACAAUGUCGAGUCAGAGUCGGAAAUGGCAAUCAUUCCAGCAAUGCCGACAAGCACCCCUUUGAACACAAGCACUGGCAACACUCCAGUAGAUGAAACUGCCGCCGAUACUGAAGUGAAUGAUGAAACUGAUGACGAAGCACAAGGGGAUGAAGAUGGUGGGCAAUCAGAGAUCGUGGUACCUCAGCCACCGUACGUUGGGCAGAGAUUUGAAUCGUUCGAAGAAGCAAAGGAAUUCUACCAGACAUAUGCAAAGUUCCAUGGGUUUGCGGUCAACACCGAAUACCAUAGGAAAAUUAAGAAAACUAACAAGUACAGCAGAGGUGAGAUGAGGUGCCACAAGGCACGAAGGAACAAGAAGUAG
This 612-nucleotide ribosomal RNA is filed under the name Triticum aestivum (bread wheat). RNAcentral describes it as "partial small subunit ribosomal RNA". Lineage: Eukaryota; Viridiplantae; Streptophyta; Magnoliopsida; Poales; Poaceae. The record is from RNAcentral.